AUACGGAGGAUGCAAGCGUUAUCCGGAUUUAUUGGGCUUAAAGGGUGCGUAGGCGGUUUGCUAAGCGGGAGGUGAAAUGCCGGGGCUAAACGUCGGAAGUGCCUCCCGAACUGGGGGACUUGAAUGACUCUGCCGAGGGAGGAAUGUGUAGUGUAGCGGUGAAAUGCUUAGAGAUUACACAGAACACCGAUUGCGAAGGCAUCUCACGAAGGGUUGAUUGACGCUGAGGCACGAAAGCGUGGGGAUCAAACAGGAUUAGAUACCCUGGUAGUCCACGCAGUAAACGAUGAUGGCUAACCGCUGGGCUUAUCAGUUCAGUGGCCAAGCGAAAGCGAUAAGCCAUCCACCUGGGGAGUACGACCGCAAGGUUGAAACUCAAAUGAAUUGACGGGG
This 393-nucleotide ribosomal RNA is filed under the name uncultured bacterium. Its description in RNAcentral is "partial 16S ribosomal RNA". It matches the Rfam family "Bacterial small subunit ribosomal RNA", at positions 523 to 918 of the family's 1533-position model. The record is from RNAcentral.